GACGAACGCUGGCGGCGUGCCUAAUACAUGCAAGUCGAGCGAAGUUUUUCUGGUGCUUGCACUACAAAAACUUAGCGGAGAACGGGUGAGUAACACGUAAAGAACCUGCCUCAUAGACUGGGACAACUAUUGGAAACGAUAGCUAAUACCGGAUAACAGCAUUAGCUGCAUGGUUGAUGUUUAAAAGUUGGUUUUGCUAACACUAUGACAUGGCUUUGCGGUGAAUUAGCUAGUUGGUGGGGAAAAGGCCUACCAAGGCGACGAUGCAUAGCCAACCUGAGAGGGUGAUCGGCCACACUGAGACUGACACACCGCCCAGACUCCUAGGGGAGGCCACAGUAGGGAAUCUUCCGCAAUGGGCGGAAGCCUGACAGAUCUACGCCGCGUGAGUGAAAAAGGAUUUCGGGUCUUAAAGCUCUGUUGCUAGGGAAGAAUGAUUGUGUAGCAUCUAUACACAGUAGAGACGGCACCUCACCAGAUAGCCUCAGUUUACUACGUGCCAGCAGCACGCGGUAAUACGUAGGUGGCAAGCGUGUCCCGGAAUAUUGGGCGUAAAGCGCGCGCAGGUGGUUAAUAAGUCUGAUGUGAAAGCCCACGGCUCAACCGUGGAGGGUCAUUGGAAACUGUUAAACUGNAGUGCAGGAGAGAAAAGUGGAAUUCCUAGUGUAGCGGUGAAAUGCGUAGAGAUUAGGAGGAACACCAGUGGCGAAGGCGGCUUUUUGGCCUGUAACUGACACUGAGGCGCGAAAGCGUGGGGAGCAAACAGGAUUAGAUACCCUGGUAGUCCACGCCGUAAACGAUGAGUGCUAAGUGUUGGUCUCAUAAGAGAUCAGUGCUGCAGCUAACGCAUUAAGCACUCCGCCUGGGGAGUACGACCGCAAGGUUGAAACUCAAAGGAAUUGACGGGGACCCGCACAAGCGGUGGAGCAUGUGGUUUAAUUCGAAGCAACGCGAAGAACCUUACCAAGUCUUGACAUACUGUGAAGACACAAGAGAUUGUGUUGUUCUAACCUUUGGUUAGACACAGAUACAGGUGGUGCAUGGUUGUCGUCAGCUCGUGUCGUGAGAUGUUGGGUUAAGUCCCGCAACGAGCGCAACCCUUAUAUCUAGUUGCCAGCAGUAAGAUGGGGACUCUAGAUAGACUGCCAGUGAUAAACUGGAGGAAGGUGAGGAUGACGUCAAAUCAUCAUGCCCCUUAUGACUUGGGCUACACACGUGCUACAAUGGAUAGGAACAAAGAGAAGCGAGCUCGCGAGAGUAAGCAAACCUCACAAAACUAUUCUCAGUUCGGAUUGUAGUCUGCAACUCGACUACAUGAAGCUGGAAUCGCUAGUAAUCGCGAAUCAGAAUGUCGCGGUGAAUACGUUCCCGGGUCU
Molecule: ribosomal RNA, 1376 nt
Filed under: uncultured bacterium
Lineage: Bacteria
Description: bacterial SSU rRNA
Rfam family: Bacterial small subunit ribosomal RNA
Source: RNAcentral